UCUCUUCUCUCAAAUCAAACACGCCUCUCUCCCUCUCGCUCUGCCUUCAGCCGAGGCGUUCGCCGCCGCGGCUCCAGCGCGGCCGUGCCGGUCGAGGGCGGCGCCUCUCGCCGUUUCAUUCUCCCCUUGCGACUCCUCCAUCUCAAAUCGACAGAAACAAUGGAAGCCUUACUCCUCCUUCCAAAUCGAGCCCUAGCUCUCCCAAAAUCAGGAAUCGCCGCCGCCGCUCCUGAAUUCCGGUGAACGGCGGUCGAACCUCCUCCCUCACCUCCAUCUCUGCCUUCUUCGCUCUCAAUUUCCAUCGAAGCUUGAGCGAGCCCUAAUUUUUCCCUUCUUGAGGUGCCGCUGCCGCCGCCGCUGCAACUGGAAGGCCGACGAGAUUCGCCGCGCCGCUGCACCCGUAGCGGCGUCCGCUGGUCGUCAGGCCGCCGAGGGCGCCGAUCCUCGGCUGCCCCCUCUUCAUCUCACUACCUUCCUUUUGAAAUCGAGUGCAAAGGAUGAAGGGAGGAAACAUGAUUUCCUCAGUCUGAUAUCGUUUCCGCCGUUGCUGCUCCGCGGUUUCCGGCUAGUAGGGAAAAGCCCGCCGUUGCUGUUUUCUCCAGGGUCGACGGUUCGAGCCACGCCACGCUGCUGCUGCUGGAUUCGGGCGAAGGGUACGCCGCCGAAUGCUGCUAUUCCAGAAUCGGCGAGGGCCAUCGCCGAGGUCAGGAGUCGCCUGCCCUUCACCGCUCGACGCCGUCGACGCUGCUGCCCCCGCGAGUCGCCGCCCAGACGUCGUUUCUCGGCCUGACUGAGCAGGGCAGCGCCCCUCUUUUCUAAAAGCUAAGUUCUCCUCUACCCUACUGUAAAGCUUGAUUUUCCUUAUUGUGCUUAGUAUGUUGAGUUGCUCGAGUUCUACACACUAAUUCUUACAUUAAAAGAAAAAUGUAACUGGUGUUCUGCAUUAUGAAGUGUAACUUGGCUAUGUUCAUUAUGCUUAUAUAGGUCUUCUAUCAUUUGAAUCUGAUCAUGUUUGAUGGUAUGAAUGCAAACACUGGAUUGAAUAAUAGGAUAGCAUGAUUUACCUCGAAUGUUUUUGAACUGAUUGCUUGCUGUUGGAGUUGAAAGAAAUGUGUAAUAACUUGAAGUAUAACUGUUGGUUGGCUGCUAUGGCUGGAUGAGAUGGAAGGAUUCUGAAAUAAAUCAUAUCCGUUCCUUUCAAUAAAUGCAGGUUACAAAUGGAAGAAGAUGAGAAAUUAAAGCCAAUGUUUACCUUAAAGUUUCUGGACUGGAAUGACUAGAAGUUGGCAGACUGAAUGAAUGAAGGAAGAUCUGUUACUCUGAAUAUUUCUAAGUGUAGAAUGAGGAGAAUGCAGUAUUUUGUUGGCUGUGGUUCGAUGUUGGCUGGAAGGCGAAGGGUUGGUGCACUUGAGUGUGCUAAUGGAUGGUAGUAGGGUGUAGGGAGAAGGGGAUUGGAGGGGUGGGGCGGCUGGCAUAGGGGAGAGUGAAGGGUGCUGCAGAUUUUUGCACACAUAUUCACUUAUCCUUUCUUUGUACUCAACAUUCUCAUGCUUAGGUAGAUGUUAGGAUUGUAAUAGCUAGGUAGGUUGUGGUGCAAAUAAAUAAAACCCCUUUGUCUUGGUAANGCCCAAGGAAAAAUAAAAUAAGAUGGCCCAACUAAUUAAUGGUCCAAUUAAUAAAAGAAUAAAAAAAAUAUAGGGGAAGGCCCAAAUCCCUCCCCCUCAAACUCGUCCCUCUCAGUCAUCUCACCCUCUCAAACCAGCCGCUCCCUCCUCCUCCCUCUCACUCUCGACCCGCCUUCAGACGAGGCGUCCGCCGCCGCGACUCCGGCGCGGCCGCGCCUGGCCGAGGGGCGGCGCCUCUCGUCCAUCUCCCUCUCUCCUCUCGAAACUCCUCUCUCUCAAAAAUCAGAACGCCACCCUCUCCCCCUUUCUCUCUCUCUCUCGCUCCGCCUCCAGCCGGUUCCGCCGCGAACGGCUCCGGCGAGGCCGUGCCGGCCGAGCUUCUGCUGCUGUCUCUCAGAUUUAGGGGAGGCCACCUAAAAUUGAGCCCUAAUUCUCCCCCUUCCAAAAUCGAGCCCUAGCUCUCCCAAAUCGGAAAUCGCCGCCGCCGCCCCUGAAAUUCUGGUGAACGGCGAUCGUUCCUCCUCCCUUACCUCCAUCUCUGCCUUCUUCGCUCUCAAUUUCCAUCGAAGCUUGAGCGAGCCCUAAUUUUUUUUCUUCUUGAGGUGCCGCUGCCGCCGCCGCUGCAACUGGAAGGCCGACGAGAUUCGCCGCGCCGCUGCACCCGUAGCGGCGUCCGAUGGUCGUCAGGUCGCCAAGGGCGCCGAUCCUCGGCUGCCCCCUCUUCAUCUCACUACCUUCCUUUCAAAAUCGAGUGCAAAGAAUGAAGGAAUGAAGCAUAAUUUCCUCAGUCUGAUAUCGUCUCCGCCGUUGCUGCUCCGCGGUUUCCGGCUAGUAGGGGAAAGCCC
This 2470-nucleotide long non-coding RNA is filed under the name Salvia miltiorrhiza (redroot sage). Its description in RNAcentral is "long non-coding RNA (SMIL_LNC002056)". The record is from RNAcentral. Lineage: Eukaryota; Viridiplantae; Streptophyta; Magnoliopsida; Lamiales; Lamiaceae.